GCGGACGUGGCGGAAUUGGUAUACGCACUAGGUUGAGGGCCUAGGCUCGUAAGAGCGUGUGGGUUCAAGUCCCACCGUCCGCACCA
RNAcentral lists this transfer RNA (86 nucleotides) under bacterium. RNAcentral's name for it is "tRNA-Leu". It matches the Rfam family "tRNA". From Rfam's summary of the family: Transfer RNA (tRNA) molecules are approximately 80 nucleotides in length. Their secondary structure includes four short double-helical elements and three loops (D, anti-codon, and T loops). Further hydrogen bonds mediate the characteristic L-shaped molecular structure. tRNAs have two regions of fundamental functional importance: the anti-codon, which is responsible for specific mRNA codon recognition, and the 3' end, to which the tRNAs corresponding amino acid is attached (by aminoacyl-tRNA synthetases). tRNAs cope with the degeneracy of the genetic code in two manners: having more than one tRNA (with a specific anti-codon) for a particular amino acid; and 'wobble' base-pairing, i.e. permitting non-standard base-pairing at the 3rd anti-codon position. The record is from RNAcentral.